GGACGAGUCUACUGGUGUUUGUCUAAAUUUCUACCACAAUGUCAAAGCAUUAACCCUUUCACACUUAAGUUUAAAAUAUUCCAACUGGGCCUUGGCGUGAAGUUUUUAAAAUGUAUUUAUUAUUAUUAUUAUUAUUUUUUAAUAUGACCUUUAUUUUUGAACUAUUGCAUUCAGUAGCCUGGUUUAGUAACCAGCACUUUACAGUAAAUUUAAAUACACAGCUGCCCAUAGUACUUCAUUACUUCCUGUUUUUUCUUUCUUCCAGCAACCUCACAUCUCUCUCUAUCAGACAUGCAAACCCACACUCUCACAAUAGAUACUUACUCUUGGGUUUUUUGAUUAACACAUGCCUUCCUGCACUGCUUGUGAAGACAGCCUGAGCCUCUUUUGAUCUUUUUCUAGAACAGCUUUUAAUAUACAGCUGCAGGAAAUAUUGCUGCCCAUUUUUCCUUCCUACCAAAAGCUUUUGUCUUUGCUAUUCGCAAUACUCAAAAGGAAAUAACCUAAUUUGACUUCCUUAUACACUAUACCACAUUGACUUCUGAGCUGCUCUUGUAAACUGAACUUGGUCUCGUAUUUGCUAAACUGAACUUGGUCUUGUAAUUGUUAAACUGAACUUGGUCUCGUAUUUGCUAAACUGAACUUGGUCUUGUAAUUGCUAAACUGACUUUCUCAUGCUGAUUUCUCCUUGUGAUAUUUUUCUCCCAUUCAGACAGAAAAGAGGAAGUUGGAGAUGGGCUUGAAUCAACUCAAAACAUUUCUUUAUUUUCCCUUUUCCGCUGUUCAGCAUUUUCACACACAUACACACACAGACGUGCUUAUACUGAUCAAGAUGCAAGAUGGUGCCAGUGUAUCUGUCAGCAUGCUGUCGUUCUUGUCUUUCCCGUGUAUUACAGUUUGUUGUAUCUGUUGUCUGUUCAUCUGGCAUCUGUGCUGUUUUUACUUUUCGUCGUGCCACACUGGUAUCGUAUAGACUCAGUGUUGACCUAUGAUCGUCAAGCUUUGCUCAACAUCAAAAGCUGUAUGGUAGCUCAUCUGGGAUUUGGUCCUGCUCUGCAUUCUCAUUGUCAAUCCUCAUCUUGCCAACCCGCAUCGGAGUGCGCUCGCUGGCUACCUUGCUGUGUUCCUCCUCUAAGGAAAGUGCCACAGGAAGAGAGGGAAUCAUGGUGGUGUUUGGAUUUCCUACACUCAUCUAAUUGCUCUGUUCCUCCACGAUUACGGAUUCGUCAUAGAGGAGUAGACUGUUUAAAUCUCUGCCAACUGGAAUGCGUUCAACCGGAUCUGGCCUCGUUACCUCAGUCUCCUCUGAAUAUGACCCUAGUUAAUGCUAGGUCUGUGUGCAACAAAAUGUUUAUUUGAUAUGACUUUUAUAGCAUGAGUUAUAGCAUGGGAGCAGCAGUGAGACAUCAAGAACCAUCCCUGAACAAAGGGCUACGUGACUGUAUUUAGCAUUCAGAAAGACAUCUGUCUCGCAAGCUCUACCACCUCAACAUUUGGGGUUACACCUGUAACAACAUCUGUACUGUGAGAACGGAAAGCGAUCACAUCAAAUGCUAUCCUUAAUUUACGUUGAGAAUGAAACUUCAUUUACAUUACAAACAGAAAACCUGGUUUGAAACACAGUAUAAAAUGUCUGUGCUGAUACUGUUCGGAGUUCACUUUGACGCCGACGAACCCAAAGUGCUUCAUGUACUUUGUCCCUUCCAUGCUGUAAUAAAGUUCUUUUUCUUUGAGAUCUUCGACAUCCUCUUCAUUUCUUCGGACAGUGGUGUUUUUUUUUCAGCAGUUAGUCUUUAUUUACAAAUGUCCUAGAAAGAUUUGCACU
This is a long non-coding RNA of Ictalurus punctatus (channel catfish), 1825 nucleotides long. NCBI's taxonomy places the organism in Eukaryota, Metazoa, Chordata, Actinopteri, Siluriformes, Ictaluridae. The record is from Ensembl.